RNAcentral lists this long non-coding RNA (370 nucleotides) under Pan troglodytes (chimpanzee). RNAcentral's name for it is "long non-coding RNA NONPTRT005971". Lineage: Eukaryota; Metazoa; Chordata; Mammalia; Primates; Hominidae. The record is from RNAcentral.
GGGGGAGUGUCCCUGUCGGUGUAUCUGGGCCCAGGUUAGGGGACUUCUCCUCCCCACCCCCGCGUGGGUGUGGGGGUGUGUCCGGGCUAGGGCGCGUGUGCUUCUGUGCCUGUGCGUGCGUGUGCGGGUCAGGGUGGUGGGACCGCGCAUCAGGGCAGGGUGCCUGCGUCUGCGUCUGGGUCUGUCUGGUCUGCAUGUCGGCGCGAUCUCGACCUGGGUUCGUGUCCCUGGAUGUCGAGAGGCCAGCGUGGUGGGGGUGUCCAGCCUCCCGGAGGAGUACUAUGCCUCGACACCUUGGUUUCAUAUCCUAGAGGUCUGGUCGUAAUUGCCCUCUCCCCAUUGCUUGACCAGGAAGGCUGGGAGGCUCCAG